GCGCCUGGGUGUAGUUGUGGGGGAGGAAGUGGCUAGCUCAGGGCUUCAGGGGACAGACAGGGAGAGAUGACUGAGUUAGAUGAGACGAGGGGGCGGGCUGGGGGUGCGAGAAGGAAGCUUGGCAAGGAGACUAGGUCUAGGGGGACCACAGUGGGGCAGGCUGCAUGGAAAAUAUCCGCAGGGUCCCCCAGGCAGAACAGCCACGCUCCAGGCCAGGCUGUCCCUACUGCCUGGUGGAGGGGGAACUUGACCUCUGGGAGGGCGCCGCUCUUGCAUAGCUGAGCGAGCCCGGGUGCGCUGGUCUGUGUGGAAGGAGGAAGGCAGGGAGAGGUAGAAGGGGUGGAGGAGUCAGGAGGAAUAGGCCGCAGCAGCCCUGGAAAUGAUCAGGAAGGCAGGCAGUGGGUGCAGGGCUGCAGGAGGGCCGGGAGGGCUAAUCUUCAACUUGUCCAUGCCAGCAGCCCCUUUUUUUCCAGACCAAGGGCUGUGAACCCGCCUGGGGAUGAGGCCUGGUCUUGUGGAACUGAACUUAGCUCGACGGGGCUGACCGCUCUGGCCCAGGGUGGUAUGUAAUUUUCGCUCGGCCUGGGACGGGGCCCAGGCCGGGCCCAGCCUGGUGGAGCGUCCAGGUCUGGGUGCGAAGCCAGGCCCCUGGGCGGAGGUGAGGGGUGGUCUGAGGAGUGAUGUGGAGUUAAGGCGCCAUCCUCACCGGUGACUGGUGCGGCACCUAGCAUGUUUGACAGGCGGGGACUGCGAGGCACGCUGCUCGGGUGUUGGGGACAACAUUGACCAACGCUUUAUUUUCCAGGUGGCAGUGCUCCUUUUGGACUUUUCUCUAGGUUUGGCGCUAAACUCUUCUUGUGAGCUCACUCCACCCCUUCUUCCUCCCUUUAACUUAUCCAUUCACUUAAAACAUUACCUGGUCAUCUGGUAAGCCCGGGACAGUAAGCCGAGUGGCUGUUGGAGUCGGUAUUGUUGGUAAUGGUGGAGGAAGAGAGGCCUUCCCGCUGAGGCUGGGGUGGGGCGGAUCGGUGUUGCUUGCCUGCAGAGAGGGUGGGGAGUGAAUGUGCACCCUUGGGUGGGCCUGCAGCCAUCCAGCUGAAAGUUACAAAAAUGCUUCAUGGACCGUGGUUUGUUACUAUAGUGUUCCUCAUGGCGAGCAGAUGGAACCGGGAGACAUGGAGUCCCUGGCCAGUGUGAGUCCUAGCAUUGCAGGAGGGGAGACCCUGGAGGAGAGAGCCCGCCUCAAUUGAUGCCUGCAGAUUGAAUUUCCAGAGGCUUAGGAGGAGGAAGUUCUCCAAUGUUCUGUUUCCAGGCCUUGCUCAGGAAGCCCUGUAUUCAGGAGGCUACCAUUUAAAGUUUGCAGAUGAGCUUAUGGGGGGCAAUCUUAAAAAGUCCACAGCAGAUGCAUCCGGCUCGAGGGGCCAUCAGCUUUGAAUAAAUGCUUGUUCCAGAGCCCAUGAAUGCCAGCAGGCACCCCUCCUUUCCUGGGGUAAAGGUUUUCAGAUGCUGCAUCUUCUAAAUUGAGCCUCCGGUCAUACUAGUUUUGUGCUUGGAACCUUGCUUCAAGAAGAUCCCUAAGCUGUAGAACAUUUUAACGUUGAUGCCACAACGCAGAUUGAUGCCUUGUAGAUGGAGCUUGCAGAUGGAGCCCCGUGACCUCUCACCUACCCACCUGUUUGCCUGCCUUCUUGUGCGUUUCUCGGAGAAGUUCUUAGCCUGAUGAAAUAACUUGGGGCGUUGAAGAGCUGUUUAAUUUUAAAUGCCUUAGACUGGGGAUAUAUUAGAGGAAGCAGAUUGUCAAAUUAAGGGUGUCAUUGUGUUGUGCUAAACGCUGGGAGGGUACAAGUUGGUCAUUCCUAAAUCUGUGUGUGAGAAAUGGCAGGUCUAGUUUGGGCAUUGUGAUUGCAUUGCAGAUUACUAGGAGAAGGGAAUGGUGGGUACACCGGUAGUGCUCUUUUGUUCUUGCUUCGUUUUUUUAAACUUGAACUUUACUUCGUUAGAUUUCAUAAUACUUUCUUGGCAUUCUAGUAAGAGGACCCUGAGGUGGGAGUUGUGGGGGACGGGGAGAAGGGGACAGCUUGGCACCGGUCCCGUGGGCGUUGCAGUGUGGGGGAUGGGGGUAUGCAGCUUGGCACUGGUACUGGGAGGGAUGAGGGUGAAGAAGGGGAGAGGGUUGGUUAGAGAUACAGUGUGGGUGGUGGGGGUGCCAAGAAAAUACUAAUUAAUAAUAGUAAGUUGUUAGUGUUGGUUAAGUUGUUGCUUGGAAGUGAGAAGUUGCUUAGAAACUUUCCAAAGUGCUUAGAACUUUAAGUGCAAACAGACAAACUAACAAACAAAAAUUGUUUUGCUUUGCUACAAGGUGGGGAAGACUGAAGAAGUGUUAACUGAAAACAGGUGACACAGAGUCACCAGUUUUCCGAGAACCAAAGGGAGGGGUGUGUGAUGCCAUCUCACAGGCAGGGGAAAUGUCUUUACCAGCUUCCUCCUGGUGGCCAAGACAGCCUGUUUCAGAGGGUUGUUUUGUUUGGGGUGUGGGUGUUAUCAAGUGAAUUAGUCACUUGAAAGAUGGGCGUCAGACUUGCAUACGCAGCAGAUCAGCAUCCUUCGCUGCCCCUUAGCAACUUAGGUGGUUGAUUUGAAACUGUGAAGGUGUGAUUUUUUCAGGAGCUGGAAGUCUUAGAAAAGCCUUGUAAAUGCCUAUAUUGUGGGCUUUUAACGUAUUUAAGGGACCACUUAAGACGAGAUUAGAUGGGCUCUUCUGGAUUUGUUCCUCAUUUGUCACAGGUGUCUUGUGAUUGAAAAUCAUGAGCGAAGUGAAAUUGCAUUGAAUUUCAAGGGAAUUUAGUAUGUAAAUCGUGCCUUAGAAACACAUCUGUUGUCUUUUCUGUGUUUGGUCGAUAUUAAUAAUGGCAAAAUUUUUGCCUAUCUAGUAUCUUCAAAUUGUAGUCUUUGUAACAACCAAAUAACCUUUUGUGGUCACUGUAAAAUUAAUAUUUGGUAGACAGAAUCCAUGUACCUUUGCUAAGGUUAGAAUGAAUAAUUUAUUGUAUUUUUAAUUUGAAUGUUUGUGCUUUUUAAAUGAGCCAAGACUAGAGGGGAAACUAUCACCUAAAAUCAGUUUGGAAAACAAGACCUAAAAAGGGAAGGGGAUGGGGAUUGUGGGGAGAGAGUGGGCGAGGUGCCUUUACUACAUGUGUGAUCUGAAAACCCUGCUUGGUUCUGAGCUGCGUCUAUUGAAUUGGUAAAGUAAUACCAAUGGCUUUUUAUCAUUUCCUUCUUCCCUUUAAGUUUCACUUGAAAUUUUAAAAAUCAUGGUUAUUUUUAUCGUUGGGAUCUUUCUGUCUUCUGGGUUCCAUUUUUUAAAUGUUUAAAAAUAUGUUGACAUGGUAGUUCAGUUCUUAACCAAUGACUUGGGGAUGAUGCAAACAAUUACUGUCGUUGGGAUUUAGAGUGUAUUAGUCACGCAUGUAUGGGGAAGUAGUCUCGGGUAUGCUGUUGUGAAAUUGAAACUGUAAAAGUAGAUGGUUGAAAGUACUGGUAUGUUGCUCUGUAUGGUAAGAACUAAUUCUGUUACGUCAUGUACAUAAUUACUAAUCACUUUUCUUCCCCUUUACAGCACAAAUAAAGUUUGAGUUCUAAACUCAUUA
This 3647-nucleotide long non-coding RNA is filed under the name Homo sapiens (human). Its description in RNAcentral is "HSALNT0363281". The stretch from base 1139 to 1297 matches the Rfam family "Nuclear enriched abundant transcript 1 conserved region 3". Lineage: Eukaryota; Metazoa; Chordata; Mammalia; Primates; Hominidae. The record is from RNAcentral.